This 253-nucleotide ribosomal RNA is filed under the name uncultured bacterium. RNAcentral describes it as "partial 16S ribosomal RNA". It matches the Rfam family "Bacterial small subunit ribosomal RNA", at positions 524 to 776 of the family's 1533-position model. The record is from RNAcentral.
UACGGGGGGGGCAAGCGUUGUUCGGAAUUACUGGGCGUAAAGGGCUCGUAGGCGGCCAACUAAGUCAGACGUGAAAUCCCUCGGCUUAACCGGGGAACUGCAUCUGAUACUGGAUGGCUUGAGAUUGGGAGAGGGAUGCGGAAUUCCAGGUGUAGCGGUGAAAUGCGUAGAUAUCUGGAGGAACACCGGUGGCGAAGGCGGCAUCCUGGACCGACACUGACGCUGAUGAGCGAAAGCCAGGGGAGCAAACGGG